GAUGAACGCUGGCGGCGUGCCUAAUACAUGCAAGUAGAACGCUGAAGGAGGAGCUUGCUCUUCUGGAAGAGUUGCGAACGGGUGAGUAACGCGUAGGUAACCUGCCUCUUAGCGGGGGAUAACUAUUGGAAACGAUAGCUAAUACCGCAUAAAAGUCGACAUUGCAUGAUGUUGACUUGAAAGGUGCAACUGCAUCACUAAGAGAUGGACCUGCGUUGUAUUAGCUAGUUGGUGAGGUAACGGCUCACCAAGGCGACGAUACAUAGCCGACCUGAGAGGGUGAUCGGCCACACUGGGACUGAGACACGGCCCAGACUCCUACGGGAGGCAGCAGUAGGGAAUCUUCGGCAAUGGGGGCAACCCUGACCGAGCAACGCCGCGUGAGUGAAGAAGGUUUUCGGAUCGUAAAGCUCUGUUGUAAGAGAAGAACGAGUGUGAGAGUGGAAAGUUCACGCUGUGACGGUAUCUUACCAGAAAGGGACGGCUAACUACGUGCCAGCAGCCGCGGUAAUACGUAGGUCCCGAGCGUUAUCCGGAUUUAUUGGGCGUAAAGCGAGCGCAGGCGGUUAGAUAAGUCUGAAGUUAAAGGCUGUGGCUUAACCAUAGUACGCUUUGGAAACUGUUUAACUUGAGUGCAGAAGGGGAGGGUGGAAUUCCAUGUGUAGCGGUGAAAUGCGUAGAUAUAUGGAGGAACACCGGUGGCGAAAGCGGCUCUCUGGUCUGUAACUGACGCUGAGGCUCGAAAGCGUGGGGAGCAAACAGG
RNAcentral lists this ribosomal RNA (763 nucleotides) under uncultured Streptococcus sp. RNAcentral's name for it is "bacterial SSU rRNA". It matches the Rfam family "Bacterial small subunit ribosomal RNA", at positions 28 to 776 of the family's 1533-position model. The record is from RNAcentral. Lineage: Bacteria; Bacillati; Bacillota; Bacilli; Lactobacillales; Streptococcaceae.